UGGGGUUUUGCUCAUGUAAUAUGUCUCCCUGAUUAUGAACCUUAUGAAAUUUUGGAUUAUAAUUGCAACCAGACGGAGUCUCUCCACUUUCCAUCACCAUCUUCAAAAAACCUUAAUGUUUUCAGAAGAAUCCAUCUUUCAGGAAAAAUAUAAUUGCAACAAGAAUAAUGCCUCCCAAACAUAGUGUUAGAUGCUAAAAGUCUGAAGAGUGUCUUCCCCACGAAAGCGACCGCUAUAGAAAUUAGAACUACUGCUCUGUGGUGAUGUCCCGGUCUACUGUCACAGUCUGAAGUCAAGAGGUCUCAUGCAUGCACCCACCGACACCCACAUUCACCUCUUUAUAUCUUGUAAUUCAAUCCUCAAACAUGCCCUCAAUCUCCUCUCUUUCCGAAUCUACUUUUCUCUGUAUAAGUAAAAAGGUCACAAAUCUAGGAUAGAUUGAUACUUGCUAUUUACAGAAAUGUUUAUAGUUGUAAAUACAUUCAAAAGAUGAUAAGAUAACAUAAAAACAUUUAAAAGCAUUUCAAAAUUCAAGCUUAGUAUUUAUAAAAUUCAAACUAAGUUUGUUGCUGCAAUUGACGUUUAUCUUGAGAGAUACUUGGCUGAGAGAUAAUUGGAACAGUUGUAGAGUUUGUACUGGUCGCUUGUGGGGAUGUCUCAACACAUCACCGCAAACUCAAUGGUAAAGCAGUGACGGUGAGUUUGGACCGUAGCAGGACAAAACAAGGAGAAUGCAAAGGUUUCGAAGAACAUCUGCAAACUUGUCUUUUGUAGAUAGGUACUUCACGAGCAGCUGUUUGGAAGCAACUCUAUGACGGACGCAGUGAUUUCGAUAUUAAAAACAGUGAACACGGUGCUUGAUGAAAUGCCUCAACCGACGUGAGAGCAUAGGGAGUCUUUUACUGCUUUAUACAAUGAGUAUUACACCAAUACAUAAGCUAUUGUAAUAUUGUACCGUUGGAGAUUAGAGUUUAAUAACGAUACGUGUGGAAAAUGGAAAACAAAUACAAUUGACAAUAUUUGGAAAUUAGCCAUUGCAUGAUUCAAGGUUGCCAUAGAGAUGAUUGGGAGAAUCGACACUUGAUGCUUUGGAGGUAGCUUUUGUGGCAUCUACUGUGAGAUGUGGGUCUUCAUUUGGUAAGUUGCCUUCUAUGUUAUUAUGUCCCAGGGCAUGCGCGCGCGAGUCCUAAAACUUGAAUGCACGACAUUCUUCCAAAUGUCGCUGUGACAAAGUAAGAGCGGAGUGGAGGUAACCUGAAUACCCAGAUCACAAAACCAGGAAAUGCAAUUGCUCCGGGAAUGAAAGACAGGGUUAAUUGUCAUAUAAAGUGCACUAAUGUUAUCACAAAGUAAGAGUAGAGUGGAGGUAAGGUGAAUGCCCAGAUCACAAAGUAAGAAUGAUAUUUUUACUCAGCAGUUGUAUGAGCCAUUAAUUUGUACUUAGCUUCGAAGCUUGAUCAGAAAAUUGUAUGUUGUUCUUUUGUAGACCAAGAAAUGCAAUUGCUACCGAGAAAGACACAAUAGCCAGUUGUGGAACGUCUAGCAAGGGGGCACCCUGCCCGAUUUGCAUAUGAAAAGGCAUACAGAUCAAGCGUAGAGUGAGAAUUAAAAUGAAGACCAAGAUCAACAGUACCUUUUAAAUACCGAAGGAUGCACUUGAUCAUUUUAUAAUGGGCUUCAAUAGGGCAAGCGAAAAAUUGUAUGUUGUUUUUUUGUAGACCAGGAAAUGCAAUUGCUACCGAGAAAGACACAAUAGCUGGUUGUGGAACGUCUUGCAAGGGGGUACCCUGCCCAAUCUGCAUCUAAAAAGGCAUACAAAUCAAGUGUAGAAUGUGAAUUAAAAUGAAGACCAAGAUCAACAGUAUCUUUUAAAUA
Molecule: long non-coding RNA, 1875 nt
Organism: Carya illinoinensis
Lineage: Eukaryota; Viridiplantae; Streptophyta; Magnoliopsida; Fagales; Juglandaceae
Exons: 2
Source: RefSeq, a predicted model, not a curated record